UACGUAGGGGGCGAGCGUUGUCCGGAGUUACUGGGCGUAAAGCGCUUGUAGGCGGUCCACCAAGUUUGGGGUGACAGUUGCCGACUUAAUCGGCAAAGUGCCUCAAAGACUGGCGGACUUGAGGGCCACAGAGGGACAUGGAACUCCAGGUGUAGUGGUGAAAUGCGUAGAUAUCUGGAAGAACACCAAAGGCGAAGGCAGUGUCCUGGGUGGUCGCUGACGCUGAGAGGCGAAAGCCAGGGGAGCAAACAGG
Molecule: ribosomal RNA, 253 nt
Filed under: uncultured bacterium
Lineage: Bacteria
Description: partial 16S ribosomal RNA
Rfam family: Bacterial small subunit ribosomal RNA
Source: RNAcentral